UACGAAGGGGGCUAGCGUUGCUCGGAAUUACUGGGCGUAAAGGGAGCGUAGGCGGAUAGAUUAGUCAGAGGUGAAAGCCCAGGGCUCAACCUUGGAAUUGCCUUUGAUACUGGCUAUCUUGAGUAUGGGAGAGGUAUGUGGAACUCCGAGUGUAGAGGUGAAAUUCGUAGAUAUUCGGAAGAACACCAGUGGCGAAGGCGACAUACUGGCCCAUUACUGACGCUGAGGCUCGAAAGCGUGGGGAGCAAACAGG
RNAcentral lists this ribosomal RNA (253 nucleotides) under uncultured bacterium. RNAcentral describes it as "partial 16S ribosomal RNA". It matches the Rfam family "Bacterial small subunit ribosomal RNA", at positions 524 to 776 of the family's 1533-position model. The record is from RNAcentral.